This 1234-nucleotide long non-coding RNA is filed under the name Marmota monax (woodchuck). The record is from RNAcentral. Lineage: Eukaryota; Metazoa; Chordata; Mammalia; Rodentia; Sciuridae.
CAGGGAACUCCCUUUUCUACCCAGGGGAAGGGUGGUGGUAGGGAGAAGCUAGUAAAUCAAAACAGCAGACUUGCAAACAAAGUAUCUGUAUCUAACUUCAGAUAUCACAAAGAAGUAACUGCCUUAAAAUAUACUCCCAAGAUCUGAAAUUUCAGCCUCUAGUCACUCAUUGAUCUGAUCUGCAGCUCUUUCCCCUUGAAAACCUGCAGGGUCAGGUGACAUUUCCAGGUUACCAUUUUAUCAUGCCCCAACCCAGUACUGGAGAUUGAGCCCAAAGCCUCAGAUAUGCUAGGCAAGUACAUGACAACAGAGCUACAUUCCUAACCCUUUUUUUAAAUUAAAAUAUCUUUAUUUUGUUUUAUUUAUUUUUGUGGUGGUGAGGAUCAAACCCAGUGCCUCACAUGUGUGAGGCAAAUGCUUUGCCACUGAGCCACAACCCCAGCCCUCCUAACCCUUUUUAUUUUGAGACAGGGUUUUGCUAAAUAAUCCAGGGUAGGCUUAAACUCUCAAUCUUACUGCCUCAGCCUCCUGAGUCCCUGGAAUUAUAGGCAUGUGCCACCACACGGCUCAAAAAGAUUUUUGAUUAAGGAUUAUUUUUGCUUAUUCAUUUACUUAUUUUUGGUACUGGAAAUUGAAUCCAGGGGCACUUUACCACCGAGCUACAUCCUCAGUUCUUUUUUAUUCUUCAUUUUCAGACAGGGUGUGCUAGAUUGCUUAGUGCCUUGCUAAAUUGCUGAGACUAGCUUUGAACUUGAGAUCCUCCUGCCUUAGUCUCCAGAGCCACCAUGCCCAGGGAUUAUUUUUGCUUUUGAGUUUAUUCUGAAUUUCUCUUAAAAACAUAAACUUUCUUACUAAUAGUAUUGGUAAAAUAGCACACAAUCAUAGUAGCAAAUUUGGAAAAUACAGAAUAGAAAUAUACACAAUUUUUAAAACAUUCACGAUUGCAUUAUCCGGGAGUUUACCUCCUUACUAUGUAUUGAAAAUCUUCACAUACUCAGGAGGCUGAGGCAGGAGGAUCAUGAGUUCAAAGCCAUUCUCAGCAAUUUAUUGAGGUAAUAAGCAAUUCAGUAAGAGCCUGUCUAAAAAUAAAAAAUAAAAAGGGCUAAGAAUGUGUGGCUCAGUGAUAACCGCACCCCCCCCCCCCCGGGGUUCAGUUUCUGGAAGCUAGUACCAGAAACAACAACAAAACACUAUUAGAAUUCACAUACCAUACAACUCAUCCCACAAAGUGUAC